ACCUGGAUGGUUCAGUCAGCAGAGCAUAUGACUAUUGAUCUUAGGGUUAUGAGUUCAAGCCCCAUGUUGGGUA
RNAcentral lists this transfer RNA (73 nucleotides) under Mustela putorius furo (domestic ferret). It matches the Rfam family "tRNA". Rfam says of the family: Transfer RNA (tRNA) molecules are approximately 80 nucleotides in length. Their secondary structure includes four short double-helical elements and three loops (D, anti-codon, and T loops). Further hydrogen bonds mediate the characteristic L-shaped molecular structure. tRNAs have two regions of fundamental functional importance: the anti-codon, which is responsible for specific mRNA codon recognition, and the 3' end, to which the tRNAs corresponding amino acid is attached (by aminoacyl-tRNA synthetases). tRNAs cope with the degeneracy of the genetic code in two manners: having more than one tRNA (with a specific anti-codon) for a particular amino acid; and 'wobble' base-pairing, i.e. permitting non-standard base-pairing at the 3rd anti-codon position. The record is from Rfam by way of RNAcentral. Lineage: Eukaryota; Metazoa; Chordata; Mammalia; Carnivora; Mustelidae.